Molecule: unclassified non-coding RNA, 148 nt
Organism: Pongo abelii (Sumatran orangutan)
Lineage: Eukaryota; Metazoa; Chordata; Mammalia; Primates; Hominidae
Rfam family: Metazoan signal recognition particle RNA
About the family: The signal recognition particle (SRP) is a universally conserved ribonucleoprotein. It is involved in the co-translational targeting of proteins to membranes.
Source: Ensembl
GCUGGGUGUGGUGGCAUGCACCUGUAGUCCUAGCUACUUGGGAGGCUGAGGCAGGAGGAUUGCUUGAGCCCAGGAGGCUGAGGCUGCAGUGAGCUAUGAUUGUGCUACUGUACUCUAACCUGGGUGACAGAGUGAGACUUUGUCUCUA